AUUGAACGCUGGCGGCAUGCCUUACACAUGCAAGUCGAACGGCAGCACGGGUGCUGGCACCUGGUGGCGACUGGCGAACGGGUGAGUAAUACAUCGGAACAUGGCCUGGAGUGGGGGAUAGCCCGGCGAAAGCCGGAUUCAUACCGCAUACGAUCUACGGAUGAAAGCGGGGGACCUUCAAGCCUCGCGCUCGCGCGUUUGCCGAUGUCGGAUUAGCUAGUUGGUGGGGUAAAGGCCUACCAAGGCGACGAUCAGUAGCUGGUCUGAGAGGACGACCAGCCACACUGGGACUGAGACACGGCCCAGACUCCUACGGGAGGCAGCAGUGGGGAAUUUUGGACAAUGGGCGAAAGCCUGAUCCAGCAAUGCCGCGUGUGUGAAGAAGGCCUUCGGGUUGUAAAGCGCUUUUGUCAGGAAAGAAAUCCUUGGCCCUAAUACGGUCGGGGGAUGACGGUACCGGAAGAAUAAGCACCGGCUAACUACGUG
Molecule: ribosomal RNA, 486 nt
Filed under: uncultured bacterium
Lineage: Bacteria
Description: partial 16S ribosomal RNA
Rfam family: Bacterial small subunit ribosomal RNA
Source: RNAcentral